AUUUGUCCAAUAGAUCUUAAAUAUUCUCUUGUACAGCAGACAUAAGACAUAACAGAGUAUUACGAUUUUGAGAUGCAGCAGAGAAUGAUUGAUCUCUCUGCGACUUCUAUUCAUUCUUUCUAUUAUUCAUUGAUUUGUUCAUUGUUCUCUCAAGCUUGCUCAAUCCUGUUCAAUAUCUCAUGUAUUGUUCAUCGAAGAGCUUACAAUGAUUUUUCCAAAGAUGAAAAUCCAGCUAUGCAAGUUACAGCAUCUGCUUGGAACUGUAUGCUUCUGUCAGAAUGAUGCAUUAUUCUUGGGGAUAAAACCUGGCAUUCUCGUCGACAUUUAUUAUGCUUUGGUAGCUUCAAACCCAAAUUUCCUACUUUUUGGCCUGAGAGAGGACAAGAAAGAAGAUGAGCCAUCAAUUUUUUUUGUGAUUUUGAAGUGUUCCUGCAGAUAUCAUUAUUAGUAUUACCUUGGAUUCUGGAUUCUGGGCUCAUAAUGAUCAGAGAUUCCAUGAGUAAUUCUUUGGGUUUCUAUCAUUGAUCUGGGUUGGAUAUUUUUUUUACAUGAUAUAUAGAGAAAGCUUACAAGUCAUGUUGUUUUGAUGCCAUCAAACUAUGUGUAGAAAAUGCUGCUGAAUAUGUAAUAUUCUUAGGAGAAGCAAAUUGAUGUAUCAUGCCUCGAGGCCAAGGAUUCUCCAACUUUCCUCCGGUCAAAUUGGUGUCAAAACUUCUGUCAGAAGAAUGGUCUAUAGAUGCUAUGUCCAGCAAUGAAGGCAUGUUUGAUAUCUGUGACAAAUAUUGAAAUUAUUGUAAGAGGAGGGGCUAAAGAAGGCAAAAGAAUUGCAGCCACGGUGAGAGAUUGGUGCUUUUCCUCUCACAGUUGGACUCCAUAAUCAGACCUUUCUAUACA
Jatropha curcas is the source of this 894-nucleotide non-coding RNA. The record is from RefSeq and is a predicted model, not a curated record. NCBI's taxonomy places the organism in Eukaryota, Viridiplantae, Streptophyta, Magnoliopsida, Malpighiales, Euphorbiaceae.